Long non-coding RNA from Anopheles funestus (African malaria mosquito), 1229 nucleotides. RefSeq lists it as uncharacterized. The transcript has 3 exons. Lineage: Eukaryota; Metazoa; Arthropoda; Insecta; Diptera; Culicidae. The record is from RefSeq and is a predicted model, not a curated record.
GGAGGGGACAUCAGAAACCAAGCCGUGGAUGCCUUUCAGCAAACCUGUGCCCGACAGAUGAUGGAACGAGAGUGUGAUUACGUGGCUAUCCAUCGAUGCAGUCAAUGGCUUCGGUUUUGAACUACCUACGGAAUAUCCGUUGUCCGUCAGCAAUCGACGUACGUAUUUGCACAAUGGUACGCACCGGGAAGGACACGAGCUAGGUCACCAGAAAUAUGCGCAUCGAUUUCCACGUGUCUGUGGCCGAAAUGGAUGGAGAGAGCAAAAAUUAAUAUUGAAUUAUCGAGCGACCGCUGAACAAACACACAGUCCAGCUAUCGAAUUCCAGUUCUCCUUGCCCACAAAGGACCAUACCUGGAAUGGCGAUAGGGAAAUGUGACCCAAUUCAUCUCCGGAAAACGGGAAACGACAACCAUUGCACAAACCGAAUCCGUAUAACCCAUAAUGCGUGGUCGAUCAUUGGCCGGAAGAGUUGAUUAUGGUACCCAUCGUGGAAUGGUCCACGUGAACGUUGAAACACGUGUACUGGACAUGAAACAAAAAGGUGGAAUUUUUCUCUCUCCAAUGCAUCCAAAAGGGUCACUCCAAGCUGGUCCCUUUUCGAAAGAACAUUUCGUUCUCGUUUUGUCGAUACGAUUGCACUUUCCAAUUUCCAAUUUGAAGAUAUACCGCUUUGAAUGCAAAUAUUAUUUUACACUUAAAAACCUCAACAUUUUCCAUUGUUUCGUUUCAGCGAUUGUGAUGUCUGAUGCAUUGAAGCCUUCAAUUUUUGGUAUCACUCGACUUGUCAAUCCAUUUCCUGAAAAGUAAUGCAACCUUUGGAAACCAUCAACUAUAUCAAAGUGCGUGCGAAAGAAUGAGAUGCGAGAGAUAGGAUCGGGCGACAGCUUCGCCAAUUAUAGUUGUGCACACCUACACGAAGUAGUGAGAGCAGUGAAGUGAUAACGAAGCAGGAGAGAUAAUGAUAAUGAGCAAAGGAGAAAGUGUGAUCAGUAGUGAUCGGGACAGCAGCGCGGUUGCGUAAUGAAAAAAAGGCUCGCGGCAAAGUGGCGUCCUUCCUUUGUAAAACGUUUUGCAAGACAGUUUUUCGGUGCCAAAAAGUGAUAUCCUUUCCUUAAGGACUUUAUUUGAUAGAAAGAACAUUUAGUACAACAAUUUGUGAGUGAUAUAAUGUUAAAAAGUGAACAUCUUUUGCACGCGUUCAAAUGGCUGCCGGCGUCGGCUUGGGU